Heterocephalus glaber (naked mole-rat) is the source of this 3328-nucleotide long non-coding RNA. The record is from Ensembl. NCBI's taxonomy places the organism in Eukaryota, Metazoa, Chordata, Mammalia, Rodentia, Bathyergidae.
CUAGCAGCGGAGUUCACAUGAAGCUCCGGAGAGGCGGGGCGAAACUAGGGUGAAGGGGUUAGGCAGUGGACGGGCUAGACCCGCCACCUCCCCCGAAGAGAGAGCGCUGGGUGCGGGGGACGCUCUGAAGGAUUGAACUCAGGUCCUUGUGCUUACACAGCAGGCGGCGAAACCACUGAGCUAAAUCCCCGGCCAUUGAGCUGCAUUUUAAAAAAAAGAAGAAGAAGAAGUGCAUCACUGUUACAAGGGACAAGGAUGUCAUUUUAGUCAUCACACUAUUUAAAUUUGUGGUCCCUCCAACCAACCCAAAAGAGAAAACUGAGACCCGGACAUGGUGGUGCACACUUGUAAUUCCAGCACUCAGGAGGCUAAGGCAGGAGGAUCGCUGUAAGUUCAAGGCCAGCCUGGGCUACAUAGUGAGUUCAAGGAAAGCCUGAACUACAAAGGGAGAUCCUGCCUCAAAAAACCAACCAACCAACCAAACAAACAAAAAACCCUGAGAGGAACCAGUGUGUCUCCGUAUCAGACAAACCUGGGACUGGAAUCCCAGUUCUGCCUCUGCCAAUCCCUCCACACCCUCUGAGGAUGGUUUGCAGAUGAAGGAAAGUGGGUUUAGAGAGGCCAAGCGACUUGCCCAGGAAUGCGCUGCUGGUGAUGGCUCGUCUCCCGAUGUGACAGCACUUGGGCCUUCUCAUUGAGCCCCCUGCUUAGUCCUCAAGUGAUGAGGAUUCCUAGAUGAAACCACUUCUCUCCAGCCUCUGGAUGUUGUCUCCUGGUCCCCAAAACGGGAAGAGAGAGAGGACACAAGAACUAAAGGAUUGGAGUCUGCGCUCUGGAAGGAAGGAGGGGCUGAGCCAACACACGUCAGACACUCACUUCCUUCAAGCCCUGAGCUAUUGCAUCACUGUAUUUUACCUGCACCAACAAGCAUGCUUUACUAUUCAUUUCCAUUUGUGUGUGUGUGUGUGUGUGUGUGUGUGUGUGUGUGUGUGUGUGUUACCAGAGACUAGAGACUAGAACCCCAGGGUGCCUUACCUCUGAGCUGCAUCUUCAGGCCUUUUUUAUUUUUAGACAGUGUCUCAAUUAGUUGCCCAGUUGGGACUCAAACUGGUGAUCCUUCAGCCUCAACCUCCCUAAAUGCUGGGUUUGUAGGUGUGUGUCACCCUGCCUGGCUAAACCCUGCUUUAAAGAGGGGAAAAUCAAGGCAAAGAGGUUAAAUGGUUUGGCCAACGCCCACAGACAAGUGACCAAAGCUGGACUGUAAAGCUGGAGAGAUCAAACCAGGACCGCUCAUACUUCAAGAAAAACAUUAAGCAAUAGAACUAGGACAGCCUCACCCCAAGUCUGCAUGUAACCAUUACUCCAUCUUGCUUCCUUUGUCCUGGCUGUUUGCUUAUAACUACACAAAUCACACACCCUCUGAUUAGUUAAUGCUCGAGAUAGCUCUGUCUGACACUUGAGAAAAUGUCAGAGGGGUCAAGCGUCACAGGUCUGACUGACAGCAUGUCCGGCUCCACAUCCACCCACUGCUGCCUUCACAGAUGAGCUGGGGAGGAGUGGAGACAGGAGGGGACCAGCCAGGUAGUUGCAGGGGCUCAGGAUGAGGGCCCACAUGGCCCUCCUGUUCAUCACUCAGUCUUUCUCCUCAGUACCAGCCCUUUGCCUGACAUUUGCAGCCACCUUCUCUGGGGGUGGCUCAUGGAGGUUUCCCUGUGCUGCUGUUGAGUCAUUUCUCUUUUGAGUUCCCCAGAGUUCAUGGGAACUCUCCACCCAGAAAUGGAAGCUACUCAGAAGACCUCAGUUCAAAGUGGAGGAACUUCCUAGCAGCAUGGGGACUGCCUAGUGAUGUGGUGGAUUUUCCAGCACUGGCCAUAUUCAAGUAGAAACUGAAUAGCCGUCUAAGGGGGAUUUCUAUAGUGGGCAGAGGCUGGGCCUAGGCUGUUAAAGCCCUUCUGACUGUGAGAUUGUAUGAGUUAUCAUGAGAUGAAAUUUCACCCAUCCAUGAGGGUCAAGUGGUAGCACAUAUACGAGCUUUCAUGUCAGAUAGACCUGGAUUCAAACCUGGCUCAGAAAUCUGGUGGUGCAUGCCUAUAGUCUCAGCUAUUUGGGAGGCUGAGGCAGGAAAGUCACUUGAUCCCAUAAGCUAGAGACCAGCCUUGACAACAUAACAAGACCCCAUCUCAUAAAAGCAAAAAAUGGCUUAGCUAUCUCGUUUGGGGACUGUGGGCAUAUUUCCUCCCUUAGCCUCAGUUUCCUUGUUGUAAAAUGGAAAUUAUAAUACCUUUGAGCGUUAAGGGUGAUGCCUAUGUUCUGGUUGGUAUAAUAAGAACACAACAAAUUAUGCCUACUCCUCAGCAUUAAACAAACGGCUAAAUCACAGAUUGGCAGGUUUUUUGGUGGCCUUUGAUGACAGAGUUGAAUGAAAGAAUUAAAUUCAUGUGUUAAUCGAGGUACUAAACGUCUGGAUACUUAACAUGAAUAGGAAAACAGCUUUUUUCUGUGUCUAUCUCUGAAAUAAUCAUGAAAAAUGUGAUAUAUAGGGCUGGGGAUUUAGCUCAGUGGUUUUGUCGCCUGUUGCGCAAGCACAAGGACCUGAGUUCGAUCCCUGGUACCAAAAAAAAAAAAAAAAAGUGAUAUAUAAGUGGGUAAAAUUCAAGAAAUGUUCAAGGAUCAUGAUGCCUUUGCUAAGAAUUGAAAAUCUGAGUCUCUGACCCAAAGGGAACACAUCAGCACAGAUAAACAUUCCCCUGUGGGAACAGAAAUCAGCUCUAAGACAUUGAUGGAUUUCAUUAGUUCUCUGUGUGUGCAGCCUAGGUGAUGGGAAACUCACUACCUGCUGAGACUGUCAGUAGGAAACUUACCAUGUUUCCCAGCUUGUUUUUUUACUGUUUGCCAGCUGGGAAAUAGAAUUUUCUAAUAUUGUCAUCCAACUGAGACCAGACCCCAAUCAGACAGGCACUGUAUGAUCUGAGGAAUGUGUAAGCAGGUGGGCAUUCACAGCAGCAGAGGUGGGGCCAAAUGUCUGAUAGAGUGACUUUCAGAAUCACACAGAUCUUGGCAUGAGUUCUGUUCUGUGACUCAGCUGUGUCCUUGGGCAAGUCAAAAACUCUGAACAAGGACCAGGGAUUUAGCUCAGUGGUUCCAGUGCCUGCCUUGCAAGCGCAAUGGUCCUGAGUUUGAUCCCCGGUACCAAAACCCCCCACAAAAACCAAAACAACCCUGAAAAGUUUUCUUGUGUGUGAAAUGGGAUUGAUUGUACCUUGCUCACAUGAUGAUUCAGUGAAAUUAAACAUUAAAGUGCUUGGUGCUGGGCACUUCACAUAGGGAA